This 484-nucleotide ribosomal RNA is filed under the name uncultured bacterium. Its description in RNAcentral is "partial 16S ribosomal RNA". It matches the Rfam family "Bacterial small subunit ribosomal RNA", at positions 30 to 507 of the family's 1533-position model. The record is from RNAcentral.
AUUGAACGCUGGCGGAAUGCUUUACACAUGCCAGUCGAACGGCAGCACGGGGGCAACCCUGGUGGCGAGUGGCGAACGGGUGAGUAAUACAUCGGAACGUGCCCGGUCGUGGGGGAUAACGUAGCGAAAGUUACGCUAAUACCGCAUACGAUCUGAGGAUGAAAGCGGGGGACCUUCGGGCCUCGCGCGAUCGGAGCGGCCGAUGUCAGAUUAGGUAGUUGGUGGGGUAAAGGCCUACCAAGACGACGAUCUGUAGCUGGUCUGAGAGGACGACCAGCCACACUGGGACUGAGACACGGCCCAGACUCCUACGGGAGGCAGCAGUGGGGAAUUUUGGACAAUGGGCGCAAGCCUGAUCCAGCCAUUCCGCGUGCAGGACGAAGGCCUUCGGGUUGUAAACUGCUUUUGUAUGGAACGAAAAGGAUCUGGCUAAUACCUGGGGCUCAUGACGGUACCGUAAGAAUAAGCACCGGCUAACUACGUG